CAGAGAGAGAACCCUAUCCUUCUUGGACCUCCCAAGCAAGUUGCAGGAACCUGGGGAACAGGGCAGGGGCCUCAGCUCUCCCAGUCAGAGCUCCUGGAGGCAAAGGGAUCAUGCCACAAGAGGACCACUGCGAGGAUUUCUCAGUUCUGGCCAUGCCCCAUGUUAUUACCACUUUUCUUUUCAGGAGCCAUCUCAUGCUGGCAUAUCCAUCUGUUUGUUGUGUUUCCUGUGUUCCUGCAAGGCAGUGCUUUGCUGGCCUUCUGACGGUGUCUGAGUGCAUUCACAGAUGAGAAGAAGGUGUGGAAAAAAAAUACCCUUUACCUGAAGCAGACCGAGAUUCCUGCAGUUGCAGGGCUGGCAGUCCACAGCUGGAUGAAUUUCCCCAUUCUCUUGUGCUGGAGGCACAAGCUGCAUUUUUGCAGGCUGUGGGAGCCAUGGGAUCGUGGGUCUCUGUAAACCUGCUGGGUUUCAAGCAGCAAUAAAGUCCACUUUGAGCCAUGUCUAUCCA
Molecule: long non-coding RNA, 508 nt
Filed under: Parus major (Great Tit)
Lineage: Eukaryota; Metazoa; Chordata; Aves; Passeriformes; Paridae
Description: lncRNA (ENSPMJG00000018336.1)
Source: RNAcentral